This 1267-nucleotide ribosomal RNA is filed under the name Salmonella enterica subsp. enterica serovar Typhimurium. RNAcentral's name for it is "bacterial LSU rRNA". It matches the Rfam family "Bacterial large subunit ribosomal RNA", at positions 976 to 2144 of the family's 2925-position model. The record is from RNAcentral. Lineage: Bacteria; Pseudomonadati; Pseudomonadota; Gammaproteobacteria; Enterobacterales; Enterobacteriaceae.
CACGGGAGACACACGGCGGGUGCUAACGUCCGUCGUGAAGAGGGAAACAACCCAGACCGCCAGCUAAGGUCCCAAAGUCAUGGUUAAGUGGGAAACGAUGUGGGAAGGCCCAGACAGCCAGGAUGUUGGCUUAGAAGCAGCCAUCAUUUAAAGAAAGCGUAAUAGCUCACUGGUCGAGUCGGCCUGCGCGGAAGAUGUAACGGGGCUAAACCAUGCACCGAAGCUGCGGCAGCGAACGUAUCACUUAAAGCGAUUCAGCGGGUUACGAUUGACGGAGCGAAGCGACGUCAAAGCGUAUACAAAGUCGAGUCGGUUUAAGGAUACGUUCGUUGGGUAGGGGAGCGUUCUGUAAGCCCGUGAAGGUGGCCUGUGAGGGUUGCUGGAGGUAUCAGAAGUGCGAAUGCUGACAUAAGUAACGAUAAAGCGGGUGAAAAGCCCGCUCGCCGGAAGACCAAGGGUUCCUGUCCAACGUUAAUCGGGGCAGGGUGAGUCGACCCCUAAGGCGAGGCCGAAAGGCGUAGUCGAUGGGAAACGGGUUAAUAUUCCCGUACUUGGUGUUACUGCGAAGGGGGGACGGAGAAGGCUAUGUUGGCCGGGCGACGGUUGUCCCGGUUUAAGCGUGUAGGUGUGUGUUCCAGGUAAAUCCGGUUCACUUUAACACUGAGGCGUGAUGACGAGGCACUACGGUGCUGAAGCAACAAAUGCCCUGCUUCCAGGAAAAGCCUCUAAGCAUCAGGUAACAUCAAAUCGUACCCCAAACCGACACAGGUGGUCAGGUAGAGAAUACCAAGGCGCUUGAGAGAACUCGGGUGAAGGAACUAGGCAAAAUGGUGCCGUAACUUCGGGAGAAGGCACGCUGACACGUAGGUGAAGUGAUUUACUCACGGAGCUGAAGUCAGUCGAAGAUACCAGCUGGCUGCAACUGUUUAUUAAAAACACAGCACUGUGCAAACACGAAAGUGGACGUAUACGGUGUGACGCCUGCCCGGUGCCGGAAGGUUAAUUGAUGGGGUCAGCGCAAGCGAAGCUCCUGAUCGAAGCCCCGGUAAACGGCGGCCGUAACUAUAACGGUCCUAAGGUAGCGAAAUUCCUUGUCGGGUAAGUUCCGACCUGCACGAAUGGCGUAAUGAUGGCCAGGCUGUCUCCACCCGAGACUCAGUGAAAUUGAACUCGCUGUGAAGAUGCAGUGUACCCGCGGCAAGACGGAAAGACCCCGUGAACCUUUACUAUAGCUUGACACUGAACAUUGAGCCUUGAUGUGUAGGAU